AUUGAACGCUGGCGGCAUGCCUUACACAUGCAAGUCGAACGGCAGCACGGGUGCUUGCACCUGGUGGCGAGUGGCGAACGGGUGAGUAAUACAUCGGAACAUGUCCUGUAGUGGGGGAUAGCCCGGCGAAAGCCGGAUUAAUACCGCAUACGAUCUACGGAUGAAAGCGGGGGACCUUCGGGCCUCGCGCUAUAGGGUUGGCCGAUGGCUGAUUAGCUAGUUGGUGAGGUAAAGGCCUACCAAGGCGACGAUCAGUAGCUGGUCUGAGAGGACGACCAGCCACACUGGGACUGAGACACGGCCCAGACUCCUACGGGAGGCAGCAGUGGGGAAUUUUGGACAAUGGGCGAAAGCCUGAUCCAGCAAUGCCGCGUGUGUGAAGAAGGCCUUCGGGUUGUAAAGCACUUUUGUCCGGAAAGAAAUCCUUGGCUCUAAUACAGUCGGGGGAUGACGGUACCGGAAGAAUAAGCACCGGCUAACUACGUG
This 486-nucleotide ribosomal RNA is filed under the name uncultured bacterium. Its description in RNAcentral is "partial 16S ribosomal RNA". It matches the Rfam family "Bacterial small subunit ribosomal RNA", at positions 30 to 507 of the family's 1533-position model. The record is from RNAcentral.